This 486-nucleotide ribosomal RNA is filed under the name uncultured bacterium. RNAcentral describes it as "partial 16S ribosomal RNA". It matches the Rfam family "Bacterial small subunit ribosomal RNA", at positions 28 to 523 of the family's 1533-position model. The record is from RNAcentral.
GACGAACGCUGGCGGCGCGCCUAACACAUGCAAGUCGAACGGAGCUGAGAGGAGCUUGCUUUUCUUAGCUUAGUGGCGAACGGGUGAGUAACGCGUGAGUAACCUGCCCUGGAGUGGGGGACAACAGUUGGAAACGACUGCUAAUACCGCAUAAGCCCACGGUACCGCAUGGUACUGAGGGAAAAGGAUUUAUUCGCUCUAGGAUGGACUCGCGUCCAAUUAGUUAGUUGGUGAGGUAAUGGCCCACCAAGACUUUGAUCAGUAGCAGGCGUGAGAGCGUGACCUGCCCCACUGGGACUGAGACACUGCCCAGACUCCUACGGGAGGCUGCAGUCAAGAAUAUUCGACAAUGGGCGAAAGCCUGAUCGAGCGACGCCGCGUGCAGGAAGAAGCCCCUCGGGGUGUAAACUGCUUUUCUCAGGGAAGAAUUUGUGACGGUACCUGAGGAAUAAGAGGUUGCUAACUCUGUGCCAGCAGCCGCCGUAA